CAGCAGCCGCGGGAAUACGUAGGGUGCAAGCGUUAAUCGGAAUUACUGGGCGUAAAGCGUGCGCAGGCGGUUGUGUAAGACAGGUGUGAAAUCCCCGGGCUUAACCUGGGAAUUGCAUUUGUGACUGCACGACUAGAGUGUGUCAGAGGGGGGUGGAAUUCCACGUGUAGCAGUGAAAUGCGUAGAUAUGUGGAGGAACACCAAUGGCGAAGGCAGCCCCCUGGGAUAACACUGACGCUCAUGCACGAAAGCGUGGGGAGCAAACAGGAUUAGAUACCCCUGUAGUCCCUGUCUCUUAUAA
RNAcentral lists this ribosomal RNA (301 nucleotides) under uncultured bacterium. RNAcentral describes it as "partial 16S ribosomal RNA". It matches the Rfam family "Bacterial small subunit ribosomal RNA", at positions 509 to 809 of the family's 1533-position model. The record is from RNAcentral.